GUCUAUGAGGAAUUUANNUUGCUAAUGGACUCAUGGCGGACGGGUGAGUAACGCGUAAAGAACUUGCCCUUUAGACUGGGAUAACAGAGGGAAACUUCUGAUAAUACUGGAUAAGUUAGUAUAUCGCAUGAUAUGCAAAUGAAAGCUACGGCACUAAAGGAGAGCUUUGCGUCCUAUUAGCUAGUUGGUAAGGUAAGAGCUUACCAAGGCGAUGAUAGGUAGCCGGCCUGAGAGGGUGGACGGCCACAAGGGGACUGAGAUACGGCCCUUACUCCUACGGGAGGCAGCAGUGGGGAAUAUUGGACAAUGGAGGGAACUCUGAUCCAGCAAUUCUGUGUGUGUGAAGAAGGUUUUAGGACUGUAAAACACUUUUAGUAGGGAAGAAAAAAAUGACGGUACCUACAGAAGAAGCAACGGCUAAAUACGUGCCAGCAGCCGCGGUAAUACGUAUGUUGCGAGCGUUAUCCGGAAUUAUUGGGCUUAAAGGGCAUCUAGGCGGUAAGACAAGUUGAAGGUGAAAACCUGUGGCUCAACCAUAGGCUUGCCUACAAAACUGUUGAACUAGAGUACUGGAAAGGUGGGUGGAACUACACGAGUAGAGGUGAAAUUCGUAGAUAUGUGUAGGAAUGCCGAUGAUGAAGAUAACUCACUGGACAGAAACUGACGCUGAAGUGCGAAAGCUAGGGGAGCAAACAGGAUUAGAUACCCUGGUAGUCCUAGCUGUA
This 725-nucleotide ribosomal RNA is filed under the name uncultured bacterium. Its description in RNAcentral is "bacterial SSU rRNA". It matches the Rfam family "Bacterial small subunit ribosomal RNA", at positions 61 to 804 of the family's 1533-position model. The record is from RNAcentral.